Molecule: ribosomal RNA, 641 nt
Filed under: Fusarium tricinctum
Lineage: Eukaryota; Fungi; Ascomycota; Sordariomycetes; Hypocreales; Nectriaceae
Description: eukaryotic LSU rRNA
Rfam family: 5.8S ribosomal RNA (bases 151-304)
Source: RNAcentral
GGUAUCGCCGACUUAACUCCCAACCCCUGUGACAUACCUUAAUGUUGCCUCGGCGGAUCAGCCCGCGCCCGGUAAAACGGGACGGCCCGCCAGAGGAUCCAAACUCUUGCUGUUAUUGUAACUUCUGAGUAAAACAAACAAAUAAAUCAAAACUUUCAACAACGGAUCUCUUGGUUCUGGCAUCGAUGAAGAACGCAGCAAAAUGCGAUAAGUAAUGUGAAUUGCAGAAUUCAGUGAAUCAUCGAAUCUUUGAACGCACAUUGCGCCCGCCAGUAUUCUGGCGGGCAUGCCUGUUCGAGCGUCAUUUCAACCCUCAAGCCCCCGGGUUUGGUGUUGGGGAUCGGCAAGCCUUCUGGCGAGCCGCCCCCUAAAUCUAGUGGCGGUCUCACUGCAGCCUCCAUUGCGUAGUAGCUAACACCUCGCAACUGGAACGCGGUGCGGCCAUGCCGUUAAACCCCCAACUUCUGAAUGUUGACCUCGGAUCAGGUAGGAAUACCCGCUGAACUUAAGCAUAUCAAACCCCCGAGGAUUUCUGUACUUGAUUUCAAUUCAGUGAUUUUAAAUUAUUAGAAGGUUGCCUGUCCGUCAAGCCGCCUGGGAAAUAAGUGUAGCUUGCCUUGAUGCAAGCUCUUUGCGUUUUG